Vidua chalybeata is the source of this 812-nucleotide long non-coding RNA. RefSeq lists it as uncharacterized. The record is from RefSeq and is a predicted model, not a curated record. Lineage: Eukaryota; Metazoa; Chordata; Aves; Passeriformes; Viduidae. The transcript has 3 exons.
CCCGGCCCCGCCAGCACAGCCCCGGUACAGCCGCCGACCUGCAUCGGCACAGCCCCCGCACUGCCCCGGUACAGCCCCCGCACUGCCCCGGCCCCGCCAGCACUGCCCCGGCACAGCCCCGGCACAGCCCCGGCCCCGCCGGCCCGGCCUGGGCCCCCUCGCGCGGAGACAUCGUCUGUGCAGAGGGGCCUGGGCAUCCUGCUAGACAACGAGCUGUCCGUGAACCAGCUGUCCAAGACCAGUGGUAUACUGGGAUGUAUUAGGAAGAGCAUUAGAGCAUUGCCAGCAGGCUGAAGGAGAUGAUCCUGCCCCUCUACUCAGCCCUGGAAGAUUUCUACACAUGCCAAGGAAUGUUUCAUCAAUCUGCACCACACUGGAUCCACUGCAAGAAUUUUCUGUAAGGAAAUCUAGUUACUGUAAGUGCAAAAUACAAUUUUAAUGUCCCUCCUGUUCCACGUGACUUUCUUCUUGUUGCUCCAGGAAGCUGGAAAGGAUACUACAGUUUUUCUCAUGUUAAUUCUGGCAAUAUUUUAUUUGAAAAAUUUAGUUAACGGAAUCCUGUAAAAUUGAAUGAAAUGAUGGAAAGUGCCUUGUGAUGUUCCUGUGUCACAUAUAUGACUAUUCUGAAAACAGACUACCUAUUGUGUCAAGAUUGGAGAUUUUGAGAUAUUUUCUUGUCAUAUACUCAGAUCUUUAAAAUUUUGAAUAAACUGCUAUUCCAAGAACAACCCAAUAUGGAUAAAGCAGAGAAUUUUACUAUGAUGGGUUUUUUAAAAUAUUUAUUUGAACUUCAGUUUUCAUUAAACUUCAGU